GGGGGCGUUACGGAUUCGACAGGCAUAGAUUGAACAAUUAAGGCAAUUCGUAGGUUACGGCUACGUUAAAACGUUACAGUUUAAAUAUAACUGACAAAACACAAAAUAAUUCUUUCGCUUUCGCUGCUUAAAAACCAGCAGGCGUUGAUCUGUCUAGCCUCUCCCAUGGGUUAGGUUCAGGUCUUAGAUGAGUGGGAUACGUUACAAACUUCCAUCUGUAGUGCGUAAAGGAGAAUAAUCAGAUUAGCAACUAUUCAUGCCUGUUUAUUGGCUAAAUAGAAGUGAACUUGAAAUGAAUAAACUAUAAUUGUAGAAUUGAUUGUGGCAAUAUGUUUGGACGCGGGUUCGACUCCCGCCGCCUCCAUAU
This 367-nucleotide transfer-messenger RNA is filed under the name Aerococcaceae. RNAcentral describes it as "WM01 sp004570605 Standard tmRNA". It matches the Rfam family "transfer-messenger RNA". Rfam says of the family: Bacterial tmRNA, also known as 10Sa RNA or SsrA, is named for its dual tRNA and mRNA-like properties. RNAcentral also lists the same sequence under 2 other names. The record is from RNAcentral. Lineage: Bacteria; Bacillati; Bacillota; Bacilli; Lactobacillales.